UCGAAGAAGAUCUCAGUCUACUGAAAUAAAGCUGGACACAGUACUAUGGUAAUCUAUCGCAAAAGUUCAAGUUAAGGAAAACUCUUCGGGGCUAAAGGAAAGUGGAGAUGGAGAAGGUUUCUAUCUCAUAUGGACAUGGGCCAAGCACAAAGGGAAGCUAAGGAGAAGCUAAAAAGAGAGUUGCGGGAAAGGAAAAUAAGAAAGAAAAGUAGAGGAGG
RNAcentral lists this long non-coding RNA (218 nucleotides) under Brassica napus (rape). RNAcentral's name for it is "long non-coding RNA (BNAP_LNC025431)". Lineage: Eukaryota; Viridiplantae; Streptophyta; Magnoliopsida; Brassicales; Brassicaceae. The record is from RNAcentral.